GUCUCACUUCAGCCCGAGCGCGGGGUUAGGGCUUCAUUGCCUUGUGUCUUCUGCUCCGGGAGACUUCGGUGAUUCUGCCACUCACUCCGUCGCUCUGUGACCUGCUGGCAUUGAAUGAUUUAUAGCUAAGACUCCAGGACACCCCUGAAGCCGAGAAAUGUGGAAAAGCGAGAUUUUCUUUGACCAUUGGCUAUGGACAUUGUCAGGGAUGGUGCAGCCUGAAUGAGAAUGUCUGCAGUAUUUCCUGAAAUAAGUAUCCCUCAAGGAUGAUACUGUGGACCUCACUCAGGAAGAAUGUGUCCUUCAGAGAAAGCUGCGCAGAGACGUGGUGCUGGAGAAGCAGUCAUCUGGUUACUUUGGCAUGAAUGAGAGAUCCUUUCGCUUCACAUCUUUGCCAGCAUUUGGUGUUGUCAGUGUUCUAGAUUUUGGCCAUUAUAGUACAUGACUUCAGGCUCCUAUGUGCAGAAGUCCUCAACCCCCAGGCUGCAGACCAGUACCUGUCCAUGGCCUGUUAGGAAACUGGCCGCACAGCAGGAGGUGAAAUGAUUAUUGCAGUUU
This 558-nucleotide small RNA is filed under the name Pan troglodytes (chimpanzee). RNAcentral's name for it is "processed transcript". Lineage: Eukaryota; Metazoa; Chordata; Mammalia; Primates; Hominidae. The record is from RNAcentral.